This 253-nucleotide ribosomal RNA is filed under the name uncultured bacterium. RNAcentral's name for it is "partial 16S ribosomal RNA". It matches the Rfam family "Bacterial small subunit ribosomal RNA", at positions 524 to 776 of the family's 1533-position model. The record is from RNAcentral.
UACGUAGGGUGCAGGCGUUAAUCGGAAUUACUGGGCGUAAAGCGUGCGCAGGCGGUCUAUUAAGACAGGUGUGAAAUCCCCGGGCUUAACCUGGGAACUGCGCUUGUAACUGAUAGGCUGGAGUGUGGCAGAGGGGGGUGGAAUUCCACGUGUAGCAGUGAAAUGCGUAGAUACCAGGAGGAACACCGGUGGCGAAGGCGGCUUCCUGGCCGAGUACUGACGCUGAGGCACGAAAGCGUGGGGAGCAAACAGG